This 391-nucleotide unclassified non-coding RNA is filed under the name Hevea brasiliensis (rubber tree). Lineage: Eukaryota; Viridiplantae; Streptophyta; Magnoliopsida; Malpighiales; Euphorbiaceae. The record is from RNAcentral.
GGAAUUCCUAAUCCAAAUGGGAGUAGGAUUAAUCAUUAAGUCUCUAUAAAUGCCUAUGUAACUUGAUUAUUUUACUAGGGUUUUUAUAAUGUAGUUUAGAGUAUGAUUUGGUUUGGAAGGCCUCAGUGCCCAACUUUCUCUUCCUCUUUUUCCUAGCUGCUACAGCACUUCAAGAACUGUUCACAGCAGUGACAGCACCCAAACAUCAGAUGAAUGACCUGAUGCAAAUAAAAACAGAGUAUAUUUUCUUUUCUUUGCUCAACCUAAUAAGAUCUAACUCAAUACUCUAAUCUCCCUUCUUUAGAUCUUGACUCUUAUCACACAAUUGCUUGAAAUUUGCCUACCAUAAAAGCAUCAGUGGGUAGGCAUCUGAAUCUAUCCUACAUCAGUG